AGAAAAGUAAGCUAAAAUUAAGCUAAUGGGUUCAUAUCCCAUAAAUAGAGUAAAUCUCUUUUCUA
RNAcentral lists this transfer RNA (65 nucleotides) under Decimiana sp. RNAcentral's name for it is "tRNA-Met". Lineage: Eukaryota; Metazoa; Arthropoda; Insecta; Mantodea; Acanthopidae. The record is from RNAcentral.